RNAcentral lists this ribosomal RNA (434 nucleotides) under uncultured bacterium. Its description in RNAcentral is "partial 16S ribosomal RNA". It matches the Rfam family "Bacterial small subunit ribosomal RNA", at positions 29 to 507 of the family's 1533-position model. The record is from RNAcentral.
AGCGAACGCUGGCGGCAGGCCUAACACAUGCAAGUCGAACGAACCUUUCGGGGUUAGUGGCGGACGGGUGAGUAGCACGUGGGAACGUGCCUUUAGGUUCGGAAUAACUCAGGGAAACUUGUGCUAAUACCGAAUGUGCCCUUCGGGGGAAAGAUUUAUCGCCUUUAGAGCGGCCCGCGUCUGAUUAGCUAGUUGGUUGAGGUAAUGGCUCACCAAGGCGACGAUCAGUAGCUGGUCUGAGAGGAUGAUCAGCCACAUUGGGACUGAGACACGGCCCAAACUCCUACGGGAGGCAGCAGUGGGGAAUCUUGCGCAAUGGGCGAAAGCCUGACGCAGCCAUGCCGCGUGAAUGAUGAAGGUCUUAGGAUUGUAAAAUUCUUUCACCGGGGACGAUAAUGACGGUACCCGGAGAAGAAGCCCCGGCUAACUUCGUG